GAUGAACGCUGGCGGCGUGCCUAAUACAUGCAAGUCGAGCGAACGGACGAGAAGCUUGCUUCUCUGAUGUUAGCGGCGGACGGGUGAGUAACACGUGGAUAACCUACCUAUAAGACUGGGAUAACUUCGGGAAACCGGAGCUAAUACCGGAUAAUAUUUUGAACCGCAUUGUUCAAAAGUGAAAGACGGUCUUGCUGUCACUUAUAGAUGGAUCCGCGCUGCAUUAGCUAGUUGGUAAGGUAACGGCUUACCAAGGCAACGAUGCAUAGCCGACCUGAGAGGGUGAUCGGCCACACUGGAACUGAGACACGGUCCAGACUCCUACGGGAGGCAGCAGUAGGGAAUCUUCCGCAAUGGGCGAAAGCCUGACGGAGCAACGCCGCGUGAGUGAUGAAGGUCUUCGGAUCGUAAAACUCUGUUAUUAGGGAAGAACAUAUGUGUAAGUAACUGUGCACAUCUUGACGGUAUCUAAUCAGAAAGCCACGGCUAACUACGUG
Molecule: ribosomal RNA, 497 nt
Filed under: uncultured bacterium
Lineage: Bacteria
Description: partial 16S ribosomal RNA
Rfam family: Bacterial small subunit ribosomal RNA
Source: RNAcentral